This 443-nucleotide ribosomal RNA is filed under the name uncultured bacterium. RNAcentral describes it as "partial 16S ribosomal RNA". It matches the Rfam family "Bacterial small subunit ribosomal RNA", at positions 338 to 795 of the family's 1533-position model. The record is from RNAcentral.
CCUACGGGAGGCAGCAGUGGGGAAUAUUGGACAAUGGGGGGAACCCUGAUCCAGCGACGCCGCGUGAGUGAAGAAGUAUUUCGGUAUGUAAAGCUCUAUCAGCAGGGAAGAAAGAAAUGACGGUACAUGACUAAGAAGCCCCGGCUAACUACGUGCCAGCAGCCGCGUUAAUACGUAGGGGGAAAGCGGUAUCUGGAUUUACUGGGGGUAAAGGGAGCGUAGACGGCGAUGCAAGUCUGAAGUGAAAGGCGGGGGCGCAACCCCCGAACUGCUUUGGAAACGGUGUGGCUGGAGUGCAGGAGAGGGAAGUGGAAUUCCUAGUGUAGCGGUGAAAUGCGUAGAUAUAAGGAGGAACACCAGUGGCGAAGGCGGCUUACUGGACUGUAACUGACGUUGAGGCUCGAAAGCGUGGGGAGCAAACAGGAUUAGAUACCCUUGUAGUC